GAUGGUAUAGCUCAGGGUAGAGUGCGUGCUUAGCAUGUACAAGGUCCUGGGUUCAAUCCCGGUAGCUCCG
RNAcentral lists this transfer RNA (70 nucleotides) under Camelus bactrianus (Bactrian camel). It matches the Rfam family "tRNA". From Rfam's summary of the family: Transfer RNA (tRNA) molecules are approximately 80 nucleotides in length. The record is from Rfam by way of RNAcentral. Lineage: Eukaryota; Metazoa; Chordata; Mammalia; Artiodactyla; Camelidae. RNAcentral also lists the same sequence under 2 other names.